RNAcentral lists this unclassified non-coding RNA (222 nucleotides) under Hevea brasiliensis (rubber tree). The record is from RNAcentral. Lineage: Eukaryota; Viridiplantae; Streptophyta; Magnoliopsida; Malpighiales; Euphorbiaceae.
GCAAGACCUGCUUGGUAGUGUGUGGGUGUGUGGAGAGAUUCAAUCGCAAAACCGGUUGGUUGUUUUCCGAUCCGAGCUUCUUCCGUUUUCAAUUUGCUGCAAAUAUGUCAAUCCAAAAUCUUCUCAGAACCCUCAAAACUGUCAAAAGGACUCUCCCCCAAAAUCUCUCCCCAAAACCCUAUUAUGAAAUCCCUCACUCCAUCUCUAAAAACCUGAUUGCCC